GAUGAAGAACGUAGCGAAAUGCGAUAAGUAAUGUGAAUUGCAGAAUUCAGUGAAUCAUCGAAUCUUUGAACGCACAUUGCGCCCGCCAGUAUUCUGGCGGGCAUGCCUGUCUGAGCGUCAUUUCAACCCUCAGCCCCCGCUCGCGGGGCGCUGGCGUUGGGGAUCGGCCGUCCUCGCGGCGGCCGGCCCCGAAACACAGUGGCGGUCUCUCGCGGACUCCCCUGCGUAGUAGCACUACCUCGCAGAAGGGACGAGCGGGCUGACCACGCCGUAAAACCCCCCACUUCUCCAGGUUGACCUCAGAUCAGGUAGGAAUACCCGUUGAACUUAAGCAUAUCAAUAAGCGGAGGA
RNAcentral lists this unclassified non-coding RNA (351 nucleotides) under soil metagenome. RNAcentral describes it as "partial contains 5.8S ribosomal RNA, internal transcribed spacer 2, and large subunit ribosomal RNA". The stretch from base 1 to 120 matches the Rfam family "5.8S ribosomal RNA", at positions 35 to 154 of the family's 154-position model. The record is from RNAcentral.